CUUUUGUGGUACCCCCAAUUGAAUGACAGCCAUUUAUUUCCAUCCAUCCAAUGGAUCAAAAAGUUUAAUACCACGGUCUAAAACUUGACCGGUAUGUUACAUACCACAGGAAAUUUUCGCACCCCACACGAAAAUAUCGUAGACGGGCUCAGGCCAAUAGACUGGUCCAGGCCCAACAAGUUGUUCUAGCGUUCUAGUCCUGCGAUAAUCCCGUCCGUAUCACUCGAAGGAAUGGCCGCCGCCAAGUCCAUCCCCUACCUAGGUCGUCGACCUGCCGCCCAUCUCCGUCGACGGCGGCGACGAAAGUGGAGGAGGUUUCUUCUCCGGUAGCUGCCCCACCGCACCUCUGUUGAUCCGUCGCAUCACGUCCCCGUCCGCGUCCGGCAUCGCUCUCCUGCAGCCGGAAAGGAUCUCGCGGCCGCCGGCAAGGAGCUCUUCACCGCCGGAUCCUCGUCUCGUCCCUGAACUCAUCCCUCAGUGCCUGGGAAAGCUACCGGUGGCUGCGGCGGAGGAGGAGAUUGCGCUCAUACAGGAUGUUCACCGAGUCUUUCCUAAGGCUCAGGGUCAUGAAAGGUUCAGACUCAGUUGGACUUGGUUCUGGACUCAAAGAAGAUUAUACAACAAAUAUGUGAUGCCAAGCUUAAUAUGAAGCAUAUAUAGCAUUUCAGGAUGCGGUGAUAGAAGAGCUGGAAGCGAAAAUUAAAGAAAAUAAUAAGAAAGAUGUUGCACAAGACAAGAUAAAGGAGCUCGAGGUUUUUAUACAUAAAUGAUAAGAUUUUCGGUGGCGACAGUUAGUGUAUUCAUCGCCUUAGCUGCUGUACUAACUUACAUGUAUGUUAAGUUCUGAUUCGUUGAGAUAUCAUUAGUGAUAUUGAUUAUCGAAUUUAUAAUA
Long non-coding RNA from Lolium perenne, 892 nucleotides. RefSeq lists it as uncharacterized. NCBI's taxonomy places the organism in Eukaryota, Viridiplantae, Streptophyta, Magnoliopsida, Poales, Poaceae. The record is from RefSeq and is a predicted model, not a curated record.